Molecule: long non-coding RNA, 1164 nt
Filed under: Trifolium pratense (red clover)
Lineage: Eukaryota; Viridiplantae; Streptophyta; Magnoliopsida; Fabales; Fabaceae
Description: long non-coding RNA (TPRA_LNC005071)
Source: RNAcentral
GCGAUGCGACGGCGUCUGGUCACGGUGGCAAAUGGAUCUCGGAGAAGAACCUUAGUGGUGAAAGUUUACUGGUGAAGUUGUGAAGGUCAUAUUUCUCUAUUGUUUCUUUCUUUCUCUCCUCUUUUAUGUUGUUUCUGAUUAUUUCGUUCUUUUUUUCAAAUUGCAGAAACUGGAACCCAAAUUAAAAGCUUCAUUUUCAGGUAUCAACAUAAGAAUAUCAAUUUUUUGUAUUUUCUGUCUACAAAAAUUAUCCUGAUACUUGGAUCUGUCAUGAAAGUUGAAAUUUAUGUUUGUGCAUCCUUAGUUUUCAUCUAUCUAUACGAACAGUUGAAAUUUGUUAGAAUAUGAUGAAUGAUUUGUCUCUGUUUGAUAUGAUGUAUUAUUCUUAUGCUUUGAUCUGUCAUGAAUCUAAAGUUAGAAAGAGAUAUAUUGAGUUAUUUGUUAAGAUAAUCUAAAGUUAUAUGGGUGAACCGGUGAAAAGAGAAAAGUGGAGAUAAAAUGUUAGAGAUGCCAUACUAAUACUUUCAGCUCUUCAUGGUUCAAGAAUAGAUUCAAGUGAUUUUUAGGAGAUGCUAACAGAACUAUGAGAUGUGCAAAGGCUACUUCAACAAAGCUUUGAUUCAGGUGAGGAAGAGAAACAAGUUUAAAUGGGACACUUGCAUUUUAUCAUAGGUAAAUGUAUUUUAGUGACAUUAUUGAUUGAUGUAUGUUUUAGGGAAGAAUGUUGCUUUGAAUUGGAUUGUCUUUUUGGCCAUGUUAUAUGUUGUUUCAGUUUGGCCAUGUUACAUUUAUAAGACCUCGUGACAUGUUAUACUUAUAAGUUGUCUCCCCUGCCGUAAAUACCUCCCUUAGAUUUGAUGCCAAUGUUCAUUUUAUUUGCAGAUUGGAAUAAAGGUUUGAGAAGAAAUUUAACUUAAGUUCAUCAGUAGCUUCAGCCUACAUUGGUUAAGUUAAUUUUAUUAUCAUUGUUUUCUUUUUGGACUGUUUAAGUGUUAGCAUAUACUAAUGUCUGCUUUUGAAAUGGUUUCAGAGUGAUGUAUAAACUUUGGUAGAAUUAGAAGAAUAUGAAUGAGUUGCUUCAUUACUUGAUGAAGAGAGGAAACUGCUUAAAAUUUGUAGAACCAGAAGAGUAAUCAAGAGCUACUUCUAAUUGAUGAGAAGGAC